Long non-coding RNA from Megalops cyprinoides (Indo-Pacific tarpon), 160 nucleotides. RefSeq lists it as uncharacterized. NCBI's taxonomy places the organism in Eukaryota, Metazoa, Chordata, Actinopteri, Elopiformes, Megalopidae. The transcript is spliced from 3 exons. The record is from RefSeq and is a predicted model, not a curated record.
CUACAGAGCUGGAAGGAAGAUAGAAGACAGUAACUUCUACAUCAGUGAGAUGAAGCUCUUCAUUAAGUCUGCUGGAAGAAUUCAUCCGGGAAACUAUAAGUUACUGAAUAAAAUUGCACCUUUCACGGAUACUUUGCAAAGGUUGACAGCUUACCCUGGG